Molecule: non-coding RNA, 274 nt
Organism: Electrophorus electricus (electric eel)
Lineage: Eukaryota; Metazoa; Chordata; Actinopteri; Gymnotiformes; Gymnotidae
Source: RefSeq, a predicted model, not a curated record
GGGAAACCAACAUGCCACCACGCCGCCACUGUCGAAUAGGGACAGCAUAACCGUGUGUGUCGAGAUGGUGCCCACGGAGCACAACCCAGCCAUGCCAGGAACCUUCCCUUGCAUGCAGUGUGCACCAGAAACCUGGAAGGAGCAUAGUAAUUGGAGUAAAAAUUACAUAAUUGGGACAAAUUAACUACCAUUUUUAGCACAAGUGGAUUGGUGGAGCUUCGUGCCAAUAUGUUACGAAUAUGCUGCUCAAACGAGUCAUCAGCCAAGCCGCGCA